This 433-nucleotide ribosomal RNA is filed under the name uncultured bacterium. RNAcentral describes it as "partial 16S ribosomal RNA". It matches the Rfam family "Bacterial small subunit ribosomal RNA", at positions 29 to 507 of the family's 1533-position model. The record is from RNAcentral.
AACGAACGCUGGCGGCAUGCCUGACACAUGCAAGUCGAACGAGACCUUCGGGUCUAGUGGCGCACGGGUGCGUAACGCGUGGGAACCUGCCCUUAGGUUCGGAAUAACUCCCCGAAAGGGGUGCUAAUACCGGAUAAUGUCUUCGGACCAAAGAUUUAUCGCCUUUGGAUGGUCCCGCGUUGGAUUAGCUAGUUGGUAGGGUAAAAGCCUACCAAGGCGACGAUCCAUAGCUGGUCUGAGAGGAUGCUCAGCCACACUGGGACUGAGACACGGCCCAGACUCCUACGGGAAGCAGCAGUGGGGAAUAUUGGACAAUGGGCGAAAGCCUGAUCCAGCAAUGCCGCGUGAGUGAUGAAGGCCUUAGGGUUGUAAAGCUCUUUUACCCGGGAUGAUAAUGACAGUACCGGGAGAAUAAGCUCCGGCUAACUCCGUG